GAUGAAGAACGUAGCGAAAUGCGAUAAGUAAUGUGAAUUGCAGAAUUCAGUGAAUCAUCGAAUCUUUGAACGCACAUUGCGCCCGCCAGUAUUCUGGCGGGCAUGCCUGUUCGAGCGUCAUUUAAACCUUCAAGCUAAGCUUGGUGUUGGGUGACUGUCCGCUUCACGGCGGACUCGCCUCAAAAUUAUUGGCGGCCGGUACAUUGGCUUCGAGCGCAGCAGAAACGCGAACUCGGGCCCGUCGUAUUGGCUCCCAGAAGCUAUCUUCACAAUUUUGACCUCGGAUCAGGUAGGGAUACCCGCUGAACUUAAGCAUAUCAAUAAGCGGAGGA
Molecule: unclassified non-coding RNA, 332 nt
Filed under: soil metagenome
Description: partial contains 5.8S ribosomal RNA, internal transcribed spacer 2, and large subunit ribosomal RNA
Rfam family: 5.8S ribosomal RNA (bases 1-120)
Source: RNAcentral